Molecule: long non-coding RNA, 1936 nt
Organism: Lytechinus pictus (painted urchin)
Lineage: Eukaryota; Metazoa; Echinodermata; Echinoidea; Temnopleuroida; Toxopneustidae
Exons: 5
Source: RefSeq, a predicted model, not a curated record
UUCUUUUUGGUCGCAGUUUCAACGAGCGUUGUGUGAACUAGAAGUGCCAGUUCCAGCAGAAAAGAGAGAGUUUAGUCUACCACGUACGGUACCAGAAACAAGGACAUGACACCAAUCUUGAUAUUAUCAUCUAGAAAGUCUACAUGGAAUGUCUGGAGUGAGCAGUUAUUGGUAUUUAGUCAUAUCACUCAGUGUACAACAUGUCUGCGUUCCCUAUCUUGUGUGAACUAUCUUCCAUCAUAAAUAAGAGAGCUAGUUUACCACAGACAAGGACAUGACACCAAUCUUGAAAUCAUCAUCUACAAGGAAUGGAUAGUGUGAGCAGUUAUUGAUGUUUAGUCAUAUCACUCAGUGUACAACAUGUCUGCGUUCCCUAUCUUGUGUGAACUAUCUUCCAUCAUAAAUAAGAGAGCUAGUUUACCACAGACAAGGACAUGACACCAAUCUUGAAAUCAUCAUCUACAAGGAAUGGAUAGUGUGAGCAGUUAUUGAUGUUUAGUCACGUCACUCAGUGUACAGCAUGGAUGCACACCCUUUCUUGUGUGAACCAUCUUCCAUCAUAAAUGAAAGAGCCAUUCUACGAGAGACAAGGACCUGACACCAAUCUUUAUAUUGUCAUCUACAUGGAAUAUCUGGCGUGAGCAGUUAUUGGUAUUUAGUGUACAACAUGGCUACAUCCCCUAUCUUAUGUGAACCAUCUUCCAGCAUAAAAGAGAGAGCUAGUCUACCAGAAACAAGGACAUGACACCAAUCUUGAUAUCAUCAUCUACAAGGAAUGUCUGGAUGAGUAUUGGUAUUUUGUCAUAGUUUCAAAAGCAAGUGGUCAGAUCUGUACAUUCCUUUAUAUUCUUUGGAGGUUGUAUACAAAAAUACAAUUAUGCAAAUUGACUAGGUAUGCUUGUUUUCACAUAUAUAUCAGAUCAAAUUUUACAGCCACUUUUUUUCCAUUUUUCUAUAGGGAAUUCUUAUUUAUUGAAUUAUAAGCGGGGAAUAUUACAAGAGACGGUAACAAUUUCCAAGGACAUAGAGAGGGGCAUUUAGUCCAGUAAAUGGGCAUCCACAAUUUAUUUAUUAUCAAACAAAUUGAAUGAACCAAAUAUUUGAAAUAUAUCCAAAACAUAUUUUAUUUUUUAAUACCCAACUCAACCCUCACUUGCCAUAUGUGUUUUUCCAUUUAAGCCAUUUUUGACGUGUGAAAAAGUGGGCAGUUUCUACCAACCUCUUAUACCAAAUUUUGGCCACAUUUGAAUAAUUCAGAACAUGCUCUAACACACACACAAAAGUUAAUUUACCAAAAAUCAGUGAUUCAUGUAAAUAGGACAAUAUACAUGGCCAGUGAGGGUAUAUGCAUUUGCUACUCAUGAACCCAUUUUCAUGUGUUUUAUAAUAAGUUUUGUGUAGAUCCAAGGGGCAGGUCCAAGCUGUUAUCUGUAUCGAAAUUAUUUGUUCUUUCAUUAAUGGAUGCAUACAAUGUAGGGCAUAUUUACUAGAAAAAAAUAAUUUGUGCAUUAUGUUGGAAAUGUUUUGCAAGUAUUGUGAGGAUUAGAAUUAAGAUUGUUUAGUAAUUGAGCCUUGGAUGUAUUUGUGGAUAAUUUUUGUGUUAACUAGUCUGCAAAAGUGGAUCCAAAGGUUUUCCAGAGUUUUUUCCUUUUGUGUUUUAUCUCUGUUUUUUUACCCUGGAUCUACUUGUCGUAGAAUUUUUUUAACACAAACAUUUCUCCCUCCCAACUUCUGUGCACAAUACCUUUAUACAUACUUAUUUUUCCAUGAAUAUUGUUAAUAUGUUCUGUCCUAUAGUCAAUUGCUAUUCAAAGAAAGUAUAUGAUAUGAAUAUUCCCAAUUUCAAUUUUAUACUUAUUUCAAUUGCGAAAUCAUUGAUCAAAUGCACAGUGUAUAAUAUGUGGUGCUGUAAAUCUUUAACCCUAAAAAGACUUUU